This 600-nucleotide ribosomal RNA is filed under the name uncultured bacterium. Its description in RNAcentral is "bacterial SSU rRNA". It matches the Rfam family "Bacterial small subunit ribosomal RNA", at positions 742 to 1331 of the family's 1533-position model. The record is from RNAcentral.
GACGCUGAGGAACGAAAGCCGGGGGAGCAAAUGGGAUUAGAUACCCCAGUAGUCCCGGCCGUAAACGAUGAACACUAGGUGUUGCGGGUAUCGACCCCUGCAGUGCCGCAGCUAACGCAAUAAGUGUUCCGCCUGGGGAGUACGCACGCAAGUGUGAAACUUAAAGGAAUUGACGGGGACCCGCACAAGCGGUGGAACAUGUGGUUUAAUUCGAAGCAACGCGAAGAACCUUACCAGGACUUGACAUUGAUAGAAUCCUGAUGAAAGUCGGGAGUGCCCUUCGGGGAACUUGAAAACAGGUGGUGCACGGUUGUCGUCAGCUCGUGUCGUGAGAUGUUGGGUUAAGUCCCGCAACGAGCGCAACCCUCGUCGUUAGUUGCUCAUAUCGGUACACUGAUAUUGAGCUCUCUAGCGAGACUGCCGAUGAUAAAUCGGAGGAAGGUGAGGACGACGUCAAAUCAUCAUGCCCCUUACGUUCUGGGCUACACACGUGUUACAAUGGCUGGUACAACGAGCAGCAAACUCGCGAGAGUAAGCAAAUCUCUUAAACCCGGUCUCAGUUCGGAUUGGACUCUGCAACCCGAGUCCAUGAAGUCGGAA